CGACUCUCGGCAACGGAUAUCUCGGCUCUCGCAUCGAUGAAGAACGUAGCGAAAUGCGAUACUUGGUGUGAAUUGCAGAAUCCCGCGAAUCAUCGAGUCUUUGAACGCAAGUUGCGCCCGAAGCCAUUCGGCCGAGGGCACGUCUGCCUGGGUGUCACG
Molecule: ribosomal RNA, 159 nt
Filed under: Carya glabra (pignut hickory)
Lineage: Eukaryota; Viridiplantae; Streptophyta; Magnoliopsida; Fagales; Juglandaceae
Also listed under: 3 other names
Description: 5.8S ribosomal RNA
Rfam family: 5.8S ribosomal RNA
About the family: 5.8S ribosomal RNA (5.8S rRNA) is a component of the large subunit of the eukaryotic ribosome. It is transcribed by RNA polymerase I as part of the 45S precursor that also contains 18S and 28S rRNA.
Source: RNAcentral